RNAcentral lists this ribosomal RNA (208 nucleotides) under uncultured bacterium. RNAcentral describes it as "partial 16S ribosomal RNA". It matches the Rfam family "Bacterial small subunit ribosomal RNA", at positions 522 to 718 of the family's 1533-position model. The record is from RNAcentral.
UAGCGAAGGGGGGCUAGCGUUUGCUACGGAAUCACUGGGCGUGAAAGGGGCGCGUUAGCGGGCGUUUUAAGUCGGGGGGUGAAAAGCCCUGUGGCUCAACCACAGAAUGGCCCUUCGAUACUGGGGAGCUUGAGUAUGGUAGAGGUUGGGUGGAAAUGCGAGUGUAGAGGUGAAAAUUCGUAGAUAUUCGCAAGAACACCGGUGGCGA